AUUGAACGCUGGCGGCAGGCCUAACACAUGCAAGUCGAGCGGAUGAAGGGAGCUUGCUCCUGGAUUCAGCGGCGGACGGGUGAGUAAUGCCUAGGAAUCUGCCUGGUAGUGGGGGAUAACGUCCGGAAACGGGCGCUAAUACCGCAUACGUCCUGAGGGAGAAAGUGGGGGAUCUUCGGACCUCACGCUAUCAGAUGAGCCUAGGUCGGAUUAGCUAGUUGGGGGGGUAAAGGCCUACCAAGGCGACGAUCCGUAACUGGUCUGAGAGGAUGAUCAGUCACACGGGAAAUGAGACACGGUCCAGACUCCUACGGGAGGCAGCAGUGGGGAAUAUUGGACAAGGGGCGAAAGCCUGAUCCAGCCAUGCCGCGUGUGUGAAGAAGGUCUUCGGAUUGUAAGCACUUUAAGUUGGGAGGAAGGGCAGUAAGUUAAUACCUUGCUGUUUUGACGUUACCAACAGAAUAAGCACCGGCUAACUUCGUG
Molecule: ribosomal RNA, 483 nt
Filed under: uncultured bacterium
Lineage: Bacteria
Description: partial 16S ribosomal RNA
Rfam family: Bacterial small subunit ribosomal RNA
Source: RNAcentral